Molecule: microRNA precursor, 78 nt
Filed under: Trichobilharzia regenti
Lineage: Eukaryota; Metazoa; Platyhelminthes; Trematoda; Strigeidida; Schistosomatidae
Description: mir-3492 microRNA precursor family
Rfam family: mir-3492 microRNA precursor family
Source: Rfam by way of RNAcentral
AGCCUUCUGUGUCCGUGCCGAGGUUUCGUCAGCGAUCAACCCACUGGGGCUGAUGCAAUCUGCCAAACAAGUGAAGUA